RNAcentral lists this ribosomal RNA (410 nucleotides) under uncultured microorganism. RNAcentral describes it as "bacterial SSU rRNA". It matches the Rfam family "Bacterial small subunit ribosomal RNA", at positions 9 to 423 of the family's 1533-position model. The record is from RNAcentral.
GAGUUUGAUCUUGGCUCAGAUUGAACGCUGGCGGCAUGCUUUACACAUGCAAGUCGAACGGCAGCGCGGGGCAACCUGGCGGCGAGUGGCGAACGGGUGAGUAAUAUAUCGGAACGUACCCAAGAGUGGGGGAUAACGUAGCGAAAGUUACGCUAAUACCGCAUACGAUCUAAGGAUGAAAGUGGGGGAUCGCAAGACCUCAUGCUCCUGGAGCGGCCGAUAUCUGAUUAGCUAGUUGGUGAGGUAAAGGCUCACCAAGGCGACGAUCAGUAGCUGGUCUGAGAGGACGACCAGCCACACUGGAACUGAGACACGGUCCAGACUCCUACGGGAGGCAGCAGUGGGGAAUUUUGGACAAUGGGCGCAAGCCUGAUCCAGCAAUGCCGCGUGAGUGAAGAAGGCCUUCGGUG